GAUGGUUUAGUGAGGUCUUCGGACCGGCGGUAAGCGGGACGUCUUCGGUGUCGGUCUUGCCGAACGCUGGGAAGAUGACCAAACUUGAGCAUUUAGAGGAAGCAAAAGUCGUAACAAGGUUUCCGUAGGUGAACCUGCGGAAGGAUCAUUA
Molecule: ribosomal RNA, 151 nt
Filed under: Orius strigicollis
Lineage: Eukaryota; Metazoa; Arthropoda; Insecta; Hemiptera; Anthocoridae
Description: partial 18S ribosomal RNA
Rfam family: Eukaryotic small subunit ribosomal RNA
Source: RNAcentral